CACCCACAUGACUGUACUUUGCUUUGGAUAAAAGCGUCUGCUAAAUGGCGUAUG
Molecule: non-coding RNA, 54 nt
Organism: Salmo salar (Atlantic salmon)
Lineage: Eukaryota; Metazoa; Chordata; Actinopteri; Salmoniformes; Salmonidae
Source: Rfam